Long non-coding RNA from Mya arenaria, 201 nucleotides. RefSeq lists it as uncharacterized. Lineage: Eukaryota; Metazoa; Mollusca; Bivalvia; Myida; Myidae. The transcript is spliced from 3 exons. The record is from RefSeq and is a predicted model, not a curated record.
UGGACCCUCCAGAUGUUGCAUUUCCUGACAUGGAUAAGGAGGAUGGUACUGCCAGUUUACCAGAUUAUUCAAUAACAUAAUGCCAACCAUUUGUUGCAAGUGUCGACAUGGUGGAGGACUCAAGUUUAACUGACUGUUCUGUGACAGGUAAAGAACGGAUCCAUGUUUUCCUGGAUAUAGAGAAGACCCACUCCCUUCAGG